AACUCUUUAACACAGCGAGGCAGGAAGGUGCCAGUGUUCCCAAUAAUUAGCAUCGUUUUUCAAACCUUCCAUCUCCAGCUUUAGUAGCUUCUUUUGUGCUUCGACACCAACUCCAACUUGGUUUAUUAAUCUGGAUUCAAUGUUUCCUCGCCUGCGUUUUCCAUAAGAGCUGCCAAAUUUUCUCAUUCGGUGAUUGGACGGUGCCAGCCACGCUCCCACUCCCCCAACGCGUUAACGAGCGAAUCUCUUUUCUGGCGGGAUCACUUCACCCUCACUCCUCCAACUUCCCUGUACGUACAAACGCUUUUACUCCCCCCAAGGAACAAGCUACCUCUCUCUCCUAGAAGAAAACGAUCCGAAUCGGAGCUUUCAUUUUUCUAGCUUACUCUGUUUUGCUCUGUUUAAAUUUACUCUUUUAAAACAGGCUUCGGCUGUGAGAAGAGAAUGGGAACGAGUUGGAACGAGGAGGGGACCAGCUUCUACUCAUUGUCCUGCCAGGAUCGACGACACUCGAAGCACAUCCAUGACAACGUCCACGGCAACAUCUACCUUGAUCCGUUCUUUUUGAAACUUGUCGACACUGAACAGUUUCAGAGACUUCGCGAUCUAAAGCAACUUGGUCUAACGCAGAUGGUGUACCCAGGGGCUGUGCAUUCUCGCUUUGAGCAUUCACUGGGAGUUUAUUGGCUAGCCGGUGAAGCCGUUCAUACAAUUAAAGCUCACCAAGGCUCGGAGAUCAACAUUGAGCGUAAUGAUAUCAGGACAGUGAAACUUGCUGGACUACUGCAUGAUGUUGGGCAUGGACCAUUCAGCCAUCUCUUUGAGCAAGAGUUUCUUCCUCGGGUUCUUAAGGGAUCUAAAUGGUCUCAUGAGGACAUGUCUGUGAAGAUGAUUGAUUAUAUUGUUGAUGCGCACUACAUUGAAAUAGACUCUGCAAUCCUCAAGAAUGUGAAGGAAAUGGUACUUGCUAGCUCUGAAACUGCUUCACAAAAGAUUAUGAGUGAGAAGCGUUUUUUAUAUGACAUUGUUGCAAAUGGUCGAAAUGGAAUAGAUGUUGAUAAAUUUGACUAUAUUGUACGUGAUUCCCGGGCUUGUGGCCUUGGCUGCAAUUUUCAGUUUCAGAGGUUAUUGGAAACAAUGCGAGUGAUGGGUGACGAGAUAUGUUACAGGGCAAAGGAUUAUCUAACUAUUCACAAGUUAUUUGCCACUCGAGCUGAUUUGCAUAGGACAGUUUAUACACAUGCUAAAGUAAAGGCAAUAGAGCUCAUGGUUGUAGAUGCUCUAACAUUGGCGAAUGAUGAACUGAGUAUAUCAGCAUCAAUUCAUGAACCAGCUAAAUUUUGCAAGUUAGACGACUCAAUAUUAAGACAAAUUGAAACUUCUGAUAAACAAGAGCUCAAGAAAGCCAGAGAUUUGAUCCUUCGCAUCCGGAGAAGAGAUCUAUACCAGGUAUCCUUCAACAAUAUAUGGAAUUCUGCAAUGAGUAUUCUGUUCCAAAGGACAAGCAGGAGAACUUCAAAGACAUCACUCCUCAAGAUAUUGUUUGUUCUCAGGAAAAUGGUGGUACCACAUUGAAAGAGGAAGAUGUUGCUGUGAGCAUUGUCAAAAUUGAUCUGACUCGUGGGAGCAGUAACCCUCUGGAAAGCAUCAAGUUUUUCCAGGAUUAUGAGAGUGAUUACAAAUUUCCAAUACGGGAUGAUGGCAUCAGUCAUUUGCUGCCUACAUUUUGUCAAGAUAUGAUUGUCAGAGUGUACUCCAAGAAGCCUGAACUGGUAGGAGCAGUUUCUGAGGCCUUUGAAAAUUUUCAGCUGAAAACAUAUGGCAUGAAAGCACAGGUGCAUGAUACUCCUGAGAAGAAGAAACGCCGCAAGUAAUCGAUAUGGCUGGCUACCUCCAUACACUCAUUUUAGAAAUGCAAAUACUUAAAAUGUUUGGUCUAUACAACAAACUAUUAGUAUAAAUAUUUUCUACACCUCGCACCACAUAAAUAGAACUAAGAGGCUUUCAAAAUAAUAAUAACAACAUUAGUAUAAGAAACCGGUUGUCUGUACUGUAACAGGUCUUUUCUCUUGAACAUGUUCUGCGUUGUAUCGUCAGAAAUCAUGCAACUUCAACUGAUGUUGAGAAAA
This is a non-coding RNA of Theobroma cacao (cacao), 2129 nucleotides long. Lineage: Eukaryota; Viridiplantae; Streptophyta; Magnoliopsida; Malvales; Malvaceae. The record is from RefSeq and is a predicted model, not a curated record.